RNAcentral lists this ribosomal RNA (871 nucleotides) under uncultured crenarchaeote. RNAcentral's name for it is "bacterial SSU rRNA". It matches the Rfam family "Archaeal small subunit ribosomal RNA", at positions 1 to 879 of the family's 1478-position model. The record is from RNAcentral. Lineage: Archaea; Thermoproteati; Thermoproteota.
UUCCGGUUGAUCCUGCCGGACCUGACUGCUAUCGGAUUGAUAUUAAGCCAUGCGAGUCAUUGUAGUAAUACAAGGCAGACGGCUCAGUAACGCGUAGUCAACCUAACCUAUGGACGGGAAUAACCUCGGGAAACUGAGUAUAAUGCCCGAUAGAACGUUAUGCCUGGAAUGGUUUAUGUUCCAAAUGAUUUAUCGCCGUAGGAUGGGACUGCGGCCUAUCAGUUUGUUGGUGAGGUAAUGGCCCACCAAGACUAUUACAGGUACGGGCUCUGAGAGGAGUAGCCCGGAGAUGGGUACUGAGACACGGACCCAGGCCCUAUGGGGCGCAGCAGGCGAGAAAACUUUGCAAUGUGCGAAAGCACGACAAGGUUAAUCCGAGUGGUUUCUGCUAAAGAAACCUUUUGUUAGUCCUAGAAACACUAACGAAUAAGGGGUGGGCAAGUUCUGGUGUCAGCCGCCGCGGUAAAACCAGCACCUCAAGUGGUCAGGAUGAUUAUUGGGCCUAAAGCAUCCGUAGCCGGCUCUGUAAGUUUUCGGUUAAAUCUGUACGCUCAACGUACAGGCUGCCGGAAAUACUGCAGAGCUAGGGAGUGGGAGAGGUAGACGGUACUCGGGAGGAAGGGGUAAAAUCCUUUGAUCUUUCGAUGACCACCUGUGGCGAAGGCGGUCUACCAGAACACGUCCGACGGUGAGGGAUGAAAGCUGGGGGAGCAAACCGGAUUAGAUACCCGGGUAGUCCCAGCUGUAAACUAUGCAAACUCAGUGAUGCAUUGACUUGUGGUCAAUGCAGUGCUGCAGGGAAGCCGUUAAGUUGCCGCCUGGGAAGUACGUACGCAAGUAUGAUAACUUAAAGGAAUUGGCGGGGGAGCAC